Molecule: small RNA, 494 nt
Filed under: Pan troglodytes (chimpanzee)
Lineage: Eukaryota; Metazoa; Chordata; Mammalia; Primates; Hominidae
Description: retained intron
Source: RNAcentral
UUUGAGUUGUCUUGGACUGACUCCAGUUUUCUGAUUCCUCUGUCUUUUCAAGCGGGGUGCAGGCAGAUUCAAGACCUGGAGCUCUCGUCUGUGGAGGUGGAUCCCUGUGGAGACGCUCAGGCUGCUGCGGAGGGAGCGGUGCUCGGUCUCUAUGAAUACGAUGACCUAAAGCAAAAAAAGAAGAUGGCCGUGUCGGCGAAGCUCUAUGGAAGUGGGGAUCAGGAGGCCUGGCAGAAAGGAGUCCUGUUUGCUUCUGGGCAGAACUUGGCACGCCAAUUGAUGGAGACGCCAGCCAAUGAGAUGACGCCAACCAGAUUUGCCGAAAUUAUUGAGAAGAAUCUCAAAAGUGCUAGUAGUAAAACCGAGGUCCAUAUCAGGAACUUAACAUGGCUUAUUUUGGUGAAUUAUUCCUAUCAUCACUUUUGGACACAAAUGAAGAACACAGCAUGCCUAACUAGACAUGGGAUGAGAAUUUGUGCCGCAUAGAUUCCCUU